CCUACGGGAGGCAGCAGUGAGGAAUAUUGGUCAAUGGGCGCUAGCCUGAACCAGCCAAGUAGCGUGAAGGAUGACUGCCCUAUGGGUUGUAAACUUCUUUUAUAUGGGAAUAAACUGCAGUAUGUAUACUGCUUUGCAUGUACCUUAUGAAUAAGGAUCGGCUAACUCCGUGCCAGCAGCCGCGGUAAUACGGAGGAUCCGAGCGUUAUCCGGAUUUAUUGGGUUUAAAGGGAGCGUAGGCGGGUUGUUAAGUCAGUUGUGAAAGUUUGCGGCUCAACCGUAAAAUUGCAGUUGAUACUGGCAGCCUUGAGUACAGUAGAGGUAGGCGGAAUUCGUGGUGUAGCGGUGAAAUGCUUAGAUAUCACGCAGAACUCCGAUUGCGAAGGCAGCCUGCUGGACUGUAACUGACGCUGAUGCUCGAAAGUGUGGGUAUCAAACAGGAUUAGAUACCCGAGUAGUC
This 460-nucleotide ribosomal RNA is filed under the name uncultured bacterium. Its description in RNAcentral is "partial 16S ribosomal RNA". It matches the Rfam family "Bacterial small subunit ribosomal RNA", at positions 338 to 795 of the family's 1533-position model. The record is from RNAcentral.